AUCAAAACUUUCAACAACGGAUCUCUUGGUUCUGGCAUCGAUGAAGAACGCAGCGAAAUGCGAUAAGUAAUGUGAAUUGCAGAAUUCAGUGAAUCAUCGAAUCUUUGAACGCACAUUGCGCCCGCCAGUAUUCUGGCGGGCAUGCCUGUCCGAGCGUCAUU
Molecule: ribosomal RNA, 161 nt
Filed under: Trichoderma reesei
Lineage: Eukaryota; Fungi; Ascomycota; Sordariomycetes; Hypocreales; Hypocreaceae
Description: 5.8S ribosomal RNA
Rfam family: 5.8S ribosomal RNA
About the family: 5.8S ribosomal RNA (5.8S rRNA) is a component of the large subunit of the eukaryotic ribosome. It is transcribed by RNA polymerase I as part of the 45S precursor that also contains 18S and 28S rRNA.
Source: RNAcentral